GAUGAACGCUGGCGGCGUGCCUAAUACAUGCAAGUCGAGCGCACGGACGAGAAGCUUGCUUCUCUGAUGUUAGCGGCGGACGGGUGAGUAACACGUGGAUAACCUACCUAUAAGACUGGGAUAACUUCGGGAAACCGGAGCUAAUACCGGAUAAUAUUUUGAACCGCAUGGUUCAAAAGUGAAAGACGGUCUUGCUGUCACUUAUAGAUGGAUCCGCGCUGCAUUAGCUAGUUGGUAAGGUAACGGCUUACCAAGGCAACGAUGCAUAGCCGACCUGAGAGGGGGGUCGGCCACACUGGAACUGAGACACGGUCCAGGCUCCUAAGGGAGGCAGCAGUAGGGAAUCGUCCGCAAUGGGCGAAAGCCUGACGGAGCAACGCCGCGUGAGUGAUGAAGGUCUUCGGAUCGUAAAACUCUGUUAUUAGGGAAGAACAUAUGUGUAAGUAACUGUGCACGUCGUGACGGUACCUAAUCAGAAAGCCACGGCUAACUACGUG
RNAcentral lists this ribosomal RNA (497 nucleotides) under uncultured bacterium. RNAcentral describes it as "partial 16S ribosomal RNA". It matches the Rfam family "Bacterial small subunit ribosomal RNA", at positions 28 to 507 of the family's 1533-position model. The record is from RNAcentral.